AUUUAGCACCCCUUUAAGAAUCUCAUCCUAAUUUCUACUUCUUCUUCUGAUUCUGCAAAAGGGGUUUUUGAGCGCCAUGGAUCACGCGGCGGAUGCUCAGAGGACGGACUUGAUGACCAUUACACGCUUCGUCUUGAAUGAGCAAUCCAAGUAUCCAGAAUCGCGAGGAGAUUUCACGAUUUUGCUUAGUCAUAUUGUUCUUGGCUGCAAGUUCGUCUGCUCUGCUGUUAAUAAGGCAGGUUUAGCUAAACUUAUUGGACUUGCUGGAGAGACC
RNAcentral lists this unclassified non-coding RNA (274 nucleotides) under Hevea brasiliensis (rubber tree). Lineage: Eukaryota; Viridiplantae; Streptophyta; Magnoliopsida; Malpighiales; Euphorbiaceae. The record is from RNAcentral.